CAGAGUGUAGUUUAUUUAGAAUAUUAGUUUUGGAGAUUAAUGGAGAAGAUUUCACUUUCAUUCUGA
Molecule: transfer RNA, 66 nt
Filed under: Scantius aegyptius rossii
Lineage: Eukaryota; Metazoa; Arthropoda; Insecta; Hemiptera; Pyrrhocoridae
Description: tRNA-Pro
Source: RNAcentral